UUAGUGGCGAAAGGGUUAGUAAUACAUGAGUAACUUACCUCUUACCUGGGGAUAACGGUUGGAAACGAUCGCUAAUACCGAAUGAGGAGCGCUGGGAUAACCCAGAGGCUUCAAAGUUGGGGACCCUUCGGGGCCUUGCGGUAGGAGAGAGGCUCAUGCGAUAUCAGCUUGUUGGUGUGGUAAAAGCGCACCAAGGCUAAGACGUCUAGGCGGACUGAGAGGUCGAGCGCCAACACUGGGACUGAGACACUGCCCAGACUCCUAUGGGAGGCUGCAGUCGAGAAUCAUUCACAAUGGGCGAAAGCCUGAUGAUGCGACGCCGUGUGGACGAUGAAGGCCUUAGGGUUGUAAAGUCCUUUCGCCAGGGAACAAGAGAGAGUAACUAAUAAUUGCUCAAUUUGAGUGUACCUGGUAAAGAAGCACCGGCUAACUCCGUGCCAGCAGCUGCGGUAAUACGGAGGGUGCAAGCAUUAAUCGGAUUUAUUGGGUGUAAAGAGCGCGUAGGCGGCUAGGUCAGUCAGAUGUGAAAUUCCGAAGCUCAACUUCGGAGCUGCAUUUGAAACUACCUAACUUGAGGUUGGACGGAGAAAACGGAAUUCCACGUGUAGCGGUGAAAUGCGUAGAUAUGUGGAAGAACACCCGUGGCGAAAGCGGUUUUCUAGUUCAAUCCUGACGCUGAGGCGCGAGAGCAAGGGGAGCAAACAGGAUUAGAUACCCUGGUAGUCCUUGCCGUAAACGAUGCAUACUUGGUGUAGCUGGACUCAACCCCAGCUGUGCCGGAGCUAACGCGUUAAGUAUGCCACCUGAGGAGUACGCCCGCAAGGGUGAAACUCAAAAGAAUUGACGGGGGCCCGCACAAGCAGUGGAGCAUGUGGUUUAAUU
RNAcentral lists this ribosomal RNA (882 nucleotides) under marine metagenome. RNAcentral's name for it is "bacterial SSU rRNA". It matches the Rfam family "Bacterial small subunit ribosomal RNA", at positions 92 to 951 of the family's 1533-position model. The record is from RNAcentral.